UGCCAGCCGCCGCGGUAAUACGUAGGGUGCAAGCGUUGCUCGGAAUUACUGGGCGUAAAGCGCGCGUAGGCGGCUUUUUAAGUCAGAUGUGAAAGUCCACGGCUCAACCGUGGAAGUGCAUUUGAAACUGGGAGGCUUGAGUAUUGGAGGGGGUGGUGGAAUUCCCGGUGUAGAGGUGAAAUUCGUAGAUAUUUGGAGGAACACCAGUGGCGAAGGCGGCUCACUGGCUCGAUACUGACGCUGAGGUACGAAAGUGUGGGGAGCAAACAGGAUUAGAUA
This 279-nucleotide ribosomal RNA is filed under the name uncultured bacterium. RNAcentral describes it as "partial 16S ribosomal RNA". It matches the Rfam family "Bacterial small subunit ribosomal RNA", at positions 506 to 784 of the family's 1533-position model. The record is from RNAcentral.